Molecule: long non-coding RNA, 1183 nt
Organism: Canis lupus familiaris (dog)
Lineage: Eukaryota; Metazoa; Chordata; Mammalia; Carnivora; Canidae
Exons: 4
Source: RefSeq, a predicted model, not a curated record
AGAGAGUUCUUAUCAAAGUGGCCUAAGAUCCAAGCAGAGGCCUUACCAUCUUAGGAUGCUGUCCUUUCGAUGUAUGCAUCUAUGAUUGUCCACGGAGGAAAAGAGUUUGAAGGCUUUGCGACAGCAAUUAAAUACUCCAACCUAGGACUGACACACUCUUCUCGUGGUCAUCUUUUAACAACAAAACAAAUAACGUCUUCAUUCCUAACUUUGCAGGAGUAAGUGCAAUUCUCUGUUCCUAGAAGGAGAACAGAACCUAAAAUAAUAACAAUCAGUAGCAGUGUUACCACAGAGGGAAAUUUCAUCACUUAGUGCCCAAGUCAUGACAUGAUAAUAAUAUACCUGAUAUUUUAUCAUCUUUUCUUAAAAGUUUUUUUGCAAAUACCUUCCUAAAGAUAGCACCAUGCUGGGACACACAGGAAAAUUUAAGUAUAUCAUUAAAAGAGAGAAAGAAGAACGAUGACAUUUCAGAGGAAAAUCAUUGCCAAUAAGAUUUGAGAUUUGUUAUUUGUUAGAGGGACUUGGACUCACAAAGUCAUGGGAGCUGGUUGAGCAGUCUCUGCAAAGCUGUUGCCUUGGUGCCUGAAGAUGAAGCUUGAGUUCUCCAAGGCAAUGGAUGGAAAGGCAAGAUGGAUAUAAAGUUGGAGAGGACAAGAAAAAAGUGGGAACCACAAAAAUGUUGUGAGGCCCACUGGGACAGAUUGAAACCAUUUCAGUAUGGCUGCCUCUGACUCUGGUGGUCUGGUAUCCCGCUGAAGCUGAGACACUUUAUCGCUGAGUUCCAAGAUGGUCUUUCCUUCCGUAUCUAUGGUCAAUAUGAAAGAUGAGCCUUGCAAAAAGAAAUGAAUUUGUGGACUCCGUGUUGGGCAAAGUCACACAGAGGACAUGACCACAGUUGACCCAAGAGCUGAACUUCAGCAAUCAGAGGAUCCUCAUCUCCUCCACUGUCCUUGGAAUGUGAAUUCUGCUUGAUUUCUCACCCCCAGAGGCUGCUCCAAGGUCAUAGCCUCAAGAUAGUGAUGUGACAUUGGGACCAUCUGGAUGGUGUAUGUGGGUGAAGGUAGUUACAGCAUCUACAUUUAAGAGUUGCCAGAGGGAUAUGAAGAUCUAUUUGUCUCUCAUGGUGACCCAAGAAAAGCCCCCUGUGUAAGUUUCCUUGCUUAAUAAACCUGCCACCUACCAA